AAUGUUUUGCACGGCCUUUCUCUGUACGUAUUGUUGGUCAAUGUGAGAUCUUCAAGUCACACACAUCUUGUUAAACGAGGAAAUUAAUUUGGCCAUGUACGUGUGACGUCAACCUGUUCACAUACAGAGUCACAUACUGAUACAAAGUCUGGCACGUGGGACUGCAGGGAUUGGUUGAAGUUGCGGUAAAUUCCGUUUAUUGGUCAAUUUUGCGAAAAAGUUGCGGUGAUUGUUCAAAAUUGCGAGCCGCACCAAAGUCACGGUGGUUGGUUGAAUUGCGUAAAUUGUUGUUAU
Long non-coding RNA from Etheostoma cragini (Arkansas darter), 294 nucleotides. RefSeq lists it as uncharacterized. The transcript is spliced from 4 exons. NCBI's taxonomy places the organism in Eukaryota, Metazoa, Chordata, Actinopteri, Perciformes, Percidae. The record is from RefSeq and is a predicted model, not a curated record.